RNAcentral lists this long non-coding RNA (386 nucleotides) under Androctonus crassicauda. The record is from RNAcentral. Lineage: Eukaryota; Metazoa; Arthropoda; Arachnida; Scorpiones; Buthidae.
CUCGUUUUGUCUUGUCAGAAAUAAAAUGUUUGUGCCUUUCCUUGUCAUGAACUCUGUGUUUGUCACUUUGACACAUGGCUGUGUUUCCACUUUGUGUGAGCAUAAGCACUGUGCAGUUUUACUGUUUUCCAGUUUGUGUGCCAACCAUUCCUAGCAGCCCUCUGAGGUAUCUCAGGUGAGAGCCACAGGGUGGAACCAGAAAGUACCCCAUCUCGAAGUGUGCCUCUGGGACAGCGUUAUUAGCUAGUCCCUGAGGCCCCAGCACAGGAAAUACUGCAGUGUUCCUUCCUGCAGGCCAUGGAGCCCUGACCCAGGCCAGUCCUGGGCAGUGCUUAGGUGGCUGUUAGCAUAUAACAGGUGAAGUAAGGAUUUGGUGAAGAGCGGUG